This 252-nucleotide ribosomal RNA is filed under the name uncultured bacterium. RNAcentral describes it as "partial 16S ribosomal RNA". It matches the Rfam family "Bacterial small subunit ribosomal RNA", at positions 524 to 776 of the family's 1533-position model. The record is from RNAcentral.
GACAGAGGGGCAAGCGUUGCUCGGAAUUACUGGGCGUAAAGGGCGCGUAGGCGGGAUGGCAAGUCGGUCGUGAAAUCCCUCGGCUCAACCGAGGAACGUCGAUCGAUACUGCUGUUCUUGAGGAUUGCAGAGGAGACUGGAAUUCCCGGUGUAGCGGUGAAAUGUGUAGAGAUCAGGAGGAACACCGAUGGCGAAGGCAGGUCUCUGGGCCACUACUGACGCUGAGGCACGAAAGCUAGGGGAGCAAACAGG